UAAUAGAUUCAACUACAAAUGUAUGAUUGAUUCUAGCCAUUGAACUAUAAAUAUAGUAAAUAUUGUUAUAUAUCUAUCAUUCAUUAAUGAAUUGUGAAAGAUUUGACUGAUUUUCUCCAACGAAUUAUAUUUUAACAAAACAUUGAGUAUAUCCAGGUAUGCGUGUAGCGAACUUUCCCGGCGGGAAAAAAGAAAAAAAAAACGACGACAUGAAUCAGCAAGGUCAACCCCCGGUAGCAGAGUCCCGAAGACUUUCCUGCCUACUUCUUCCGAGAGCACAUGUUGCUGGACAUGGCCCGUAAACAAAUAUCAGGGUGUUCGAUAUCCGGGCGGAACUGGUGGUGCUGCCGAAGCCAAACUGGAUCACCUGGACAAUCUAGGCGGGAGUUCCUUUGCCGUGAGACCCCGAUCAAUCAAAAGGAACCGAGGAUCGGCUGGUGACGUCAUGAAUCGACAGCAGAGUCGAAGACCUCCCUUCCUCCUUCUUCCGAGAGCACAUAUUGCUAGACAUGGCCCGUAAACAAAUGUCAAGGUGUUCGUUAUCGGGGCGGAACUGGUGGUGCUGCCGAAGCCAAACUGGAUCACCUGGACAAUCUAGGCGAGAGUUCCUUUGCCGUGAGACCCCGAGCAAUCAACCGGAACCGGGGAUAGGAUAGUGUUUAUAGUAGAGUUUAAAAAAAUAAU
This is a long non-coding RNA of Uranotaenia lowii, 684 nucleotides long. RefSeq lists it as uncharacterized. NCBI's taxonomy places the organism in Eukaryota, Metazoa, Arthropoda, Insecta, Diptera, Culicidae. The record is from RefSeq and is a predicted model, not a curated record. The transcript is spliced from 3 exons.